GCGACGGUGACUCCCGGAGUUAACGAUAUUGCAGCAGCCGCUGUUGCUGCUGUUGUUAACGAUAUUCCUGUUGCUGCUGCCAUUGCUGCUGUUGUUAACGAUAUUCCUGGUACUGUUGCUGAUAGUAUUACUGCUGCUGUUGACAGUAUUGCUGCUACUGCUGCUGCUGCUAUUAUUGCUGCUGCCGCUGCUACUGCUGUUUACGAUAUUGCUGCUGCUGCUGUUGUUGCUGCUGUUUCUCUGUGCAGUACCAGAGUUAAAGCAGCUUCUUCAUCUUCACUGCUGUCCACCAGGAAGUAGGUGUCAUCCGUACGGAGAUUCACCGAACCAGGCGCUGCUGCUACCUGUCAAAGAAAAAAAGAAAGAAAGAAAAAGAAAGCAUGUUGAAAGGAAACUACUUCUCAGCGAAACCUCCCAGCUUAUCUCUGCUUUCUUAUCUUUGAGAAACAAACAAAACCACACGGAAAUAACAAUCGUCAUUAUUGCUGCUGUUACCUAGUUCCCACCUUCCAAACCUUGGUUAAUUAAUUUUCUUUAAUUAGGCGCCUUGCUAUUAUCCUAAACAUGAUAGGGUUACAGAACGACACAACCCUGUCGCGAUCUGGCCUUUUACAAGUUUAGGGUGUUUAAAUUGGAAAUGACGGAUAUUAUUAUAUUGUCGGAUGUUGUACAAUAUUUUCCGGAGACCUUCACAACUGAGCGGAAUCUUAUAACUUCACAUUUCUAUUGCACUCGAAGAUAAAUAUUUCCAGUUAUGGGACUAUGGCCCGGGAUAGAUGGGUCAAACGUCUGCAACACGCGAAUGUACCGGCCUAAACAGAAAAGAUUGUUGUUUUGAUCUUGUUUUAAGAGGAGAAAAUUACAAAAUAUACAAAAAAACCUCAACAUAUUUUGGUUAAUUCCUAACAAUGUGAGGAUUUCGGGAUAAAUAAAUAUAAAGGGAGAGAAAGAGAGAGAAAGGGCCAAAGUGGGAUGAGGAAGAGAUGAAUUAAGAAUAGGUUCAACGGAAGGAAACAGUCAAAGAAAGGUUGGAACAAUGACAUUGGUAAACUCUUAAAAUGGCACUACUACACCAUCAUCUCCCUCAAAGAUUUCACAACUUCAGGACAGGUUCCACGACAAUCUCAUUCUUCCGCAAUUUCGUCGAUCUCUUUCAUUUAUUCAUUUACGAUUAAAUUCUUCAUUUUUUUUUAUAAUGGAAUGAUGAAUGACAAUUCAUUCAUGCAAUUAAAACUCCAGACACCGUUGUAACUUUAUAUAUAUAUAUAUAUAUGAUAUAAUAUAAUAUAAUAUCCCCUUAUAUAUUAGCUGAUAUUUCAUUCUGAUAUUACUCAGAGUAUCAGGCUUGGCAAAAUAGCAGAUUGAAGUAACUAAAUAAAUAAACCACAUGUAUUGAAUACAUUCUUCUCUUUCGUGUAUACACUCCAACAUAAUUAUAUAUAUUAUAUAUUGACUGUGUAUAUGUUUAUGUAUAUAUAUAUAUUUAUCAUGUAAUAUAGGUGAAUAUGUUACGUACAUGAUAUUCAAAGAGUCUUUAUUCAAUAAAACAUGACACAGGGCCUGCCAUAAUAUAUUCCAGUCGUCGCAUUCUUGUUGACAAACUGGGAAUUAUGUAUGUUUUGUUGUUUCCCGAUCUGUUUAAUUUCGGGCACUUCUUAACCUCUCUGAUCGAUAACUACACAAGUGAUAUAUUUAAGGGAUCGAUAAAUUAGAUAAUCUAUACAGAGUUUACGAAAACCGAACCUUUCGUAAGAAUUAAUUCAAAGGUUUCAGGCGGAAAGGAAUUUAAUUAGAACUGGGAUCUUACCGUUUCUGUCCCUUUUCCACAGCCACUCAUUUUAUUUAUUUAUCUAACCCCAAAAGACAAAUUCAAGCUUUGGAAUAACAAAUAAUUUGCCAUCAUGACGGAGUGCUUGGCUUAUAACCCGCAAAAUAACUUUGCGUCAGUUAUUGAAAAUAUCAACAGAGAACUUAGAGAAAAAGGUAAGUUC
RNAcentral lists this long non-coding RNA (1991 nucleotides) under Octopus vulgaris (common octopus). The record is from RNAcentral. Lineage: Eukaryota; Metazoa; Mollusca; Cephalopoda; Octopoda; Octopodidae.